GGGAACUUGGUCUCGUGGUAUGAUUCUCGCUUAGGGUGCGAGAGAUCAUGGGUUCAACUCCCACAGUUCCCC
Non-coding RNA from Scenedesmus sp. NREL 46B-D3, 72 nucleotides. The record is from the annotation of a GenBank genome assembly. Lineage: Eukaryota; Viridiplantae; Chlorophyta; Chlorophyceae; Sphaeropleales; Scenedesmaceae.